UGAACGCUAGCUACAGGCUUAACACAUGCAAGUCGAGGGGCAGCAUGGUCUUAGCUUGCUAAGGCCGAUGGCGACCGGCGCACGGGUGAGUAACACGUAUCCAACCUGCCGUCUACUCUUGGACAGCCUUCUGAAAGGAAGAUUAAUACAAGAUGGCAUCAUGAGUCCGCAUGUUUACAUGAUUAAAGGUAUUCCGGUAGACGAUGGGGAUGCGUUCCAUUAGAUAGUAGGCGGGGUAACGGCCCACCUAGUCUUCGAUGGAUAGGGGUUCUGAGAGGAAGGUCCCCCACAUUGGAACUGAGACACGGUCCAAACUCCUACGGGAGGCAGCAGUGAGGAAUAUUGGUCAAUGGGCGAGAGCCUGGACCAGCCAAGUAGCGUGAAGGAUGACUGCCCUAUGGGUUGUAAACUUCUUUUAUAAAGGAAUAAAGUCGGGUAUGGAUACCCGUUUGCAUGUACUUUAUGAAUAAGGAUCGGCUAACUCCGUGCCAGCAGCCGCGGUAAUACGGAGGAUCCGAGCGUUAUCCGGAUUUAUUGGGUUUAAAGGGAGCGUAGAUGGAUGUUUAAGUCAGUUGUGAAAGUUUGCGGCUCAACCGUAAAAUUGCAGUUGAUACUGGAUAUCUUGAGUGCAGUUGAGGCAGGCGGAAUUCGUGGUGUAGCGGUGAAAUGCUUAGAUAUCACGAAGAACUCCGAUUGCGAAGGCAGCCUGCUAAGCUGCAACUGACAUUGAGGCUCGAAAGUGUGGGUAUCAAACAGGAUUAGAUACCCUGGUAGUCCACACGGUAAACGAUGAAUACUCGCUGUUUGCGAUAUACUGCAAGCGGCCAAGCGAAAGCGUUAAGUAUUCCACCUGGGGAGUACGCCGGCAACGGUGAAACUCAAAGGAAUUGACGGGGGCCCGCACAAGCGGAGGAACAUGUGGUUUAAUUCGAUGAUACGCGAGGAACCUUACCCGGGCUUAAAUUGCAGAUGAAUUACGGUGAAAGCCGUAAGCCGCAAGGCAUCUGUGAAGGUGCUGCAUGGUUGUCGUCAGCUCGUGCCGUGAGGUGUCGGCUUAAGUGCCAUAACGAGCGCAACCCUUGUUGUCAGUUACUAACAGGUUCCGCUGAGGACUCUGACAAGACUGCCAUCGUAAGAUGUGAGGAAGGUGGGGAUGACGUCAAAUCAGCACGGCCCUUACGUCCGGGGCUACACACGUGUUACAAUGGGGGGUACAGAGGGCCGCUACCACGCGAGUGGAUGCCAAUCCCCAAAACCUCUCUCAGUUCGGACUGGAGUCUGCAACCCGACUCCACGAAGCUGGAUUCGCUAGUAAUCGCGCAUCAGCCACGGCGCGGUGAAUACGUUCCCGGGCCUUGUACACACCGCCCGUCAAGCCAUGGGAGCCGGGGGUACCUGAAGUGCGUAACCGCGAGGAGCGCCCUAGGGUAAAACUGGUGAC
This 1441-nucleotide ribosomal RNA is filed under the name uncultured organism. Its description in RNAcentral is "16S ribosomal RNA". It matches the Rfam family "Bacterial small subunit ribosomal RNA". The record is from RNAcentral.